Molecule: ribosomal RNA, 406 nt
Filed under: uncultured archaeon
Lineage: Archaea
Description: bacterial SSU rRNA
Rfam family: Archaeal small subunit ribosomal RNA
Source: RNAcentral
CCCUAUGGGGUGCAGCAGGCGCGAAAACUUUACAAUGCCGGCAACGGCGAUAAGGGGACCUCGAGUGCCAGGUUACAAAUCUGGCUGUCGUGAUGCCUAAAAAGCAUUGCAUAGCAAGGGCCGGGCAAGACCGGUGCCAGCCGCCGCGGUAACACCGGCGGCUCGAGUGGUAACCGUUAUUAUUGGGUCUAAAGGGUCUGUAGCCGGCCGGAUAAGUCUCUUGAGAAAUCCAGCAGCUCAACUGUUGGGCUUUCAGGAGAUACUGUCUGGCUCGAGGCCGGGAGAGGUGAGAGGUACUUCAGGGGUAGGGGUGAAAUCUUGUAAUCCUUGAAGGACCACCAGUGGCGAAGGCGUCUCACCAGAACGGACCUGACGGCAAGGGACGAAAGCUAGGGGCACGAACCGG